This 327-nucleotide ribosomal RNA is filed under the name uncultured eukaryote. RNAcentral's name for it is "partial 18S ribosomal RNA". It matches the Rfam family "Eukaryotic small subunit ribosomal RNA", at positions 1470 to 1796 of the family's 1831-position model. The record is from RNAcentral.
CCCUUAGAUGUUCUGGGCCGCACGCGCGCUACACUGAUUCAUGCAACGAGUUUUGUCCUUGGCUGAAAGGCCUGGGUAAUCUUUGAACGUGAAUCGUGCUGGGGAUAGAUGAUUGCAAUUAUUCAUCUUCAACGAGGAAUUCCUAGUAAACGCAAGUCAUCAGCUUGCAUUGAUUACGUCCCUGCCCUUUGUACACACCGCCCGUCGCACCUACCGAUUGAAUGGUCCGGUGAAAUCUCCGGAUCUGAGAGAUGUUGGAUUAAUUUCUGACGCCUUUUGGAAAAGUUGCUUAAACCUUAUCAUUUAGAGGAAGGUGAAGUCGUAACA